This 253-nucleotide ribosomal RNA is filed under the name uncultured bacterium. Its description in RNAcentral is "partial 16S ribosomal RNA". It matches the Rfam family "Bacterial small subunit ribosomal RNA", at positions 524 to 776 of the family's 1533-position model. The record is from RNAcentral.
UACGUAGGGUGCAAGCGUUAAUCGGAAUUACUGGGCGUAAAGAGCGUGUAGGCGGCCAAGCAGGUCCGCUGUGAAAACUCGAGGCUCAACCUCGAGACGUCGGUGGAAACCGUUUGGCUAGAGUCCGGAAGAGGAGAGUGGAAUUCCCGGUGUAGCGGUGAAAUGCGCAGAUAUCGGGAAGAACACCCGUGGCGAAGGCGGCUCUCUGGGACGGUACUGACGCUGAGACGCGAAAGCGUGGGGAGCGAACAGG